UGGGGAAUAUUGGACAAUGGGCGCAAGCCUGAUCCAGCCAUGCCGCGUGUGUGAAGAAGGCCUUUUGGUUGUAAAGCACUUUAAGCGAGGAGGAGGCUACUUGGAUUAAUACUCUAGGAUAGUGGACGUUACUCGCAGAAUAAGCACCGGCUAACUCUGUGCCAGCAGCCGCGGUAAUACAGAGGGUGCGAGCGUUAAUCGGAUUUACUGGGCGUAAAGCGUGCGUAGGCGGCUUUUUAAGUCGGAUGUGAAAUCCCUGAGCUUAACUUAGGAAUUGCAUUCGAUACUGGGAAGCUAGAGUAUGGGAGAGGAUGGUAGAUUUCCAGGUGUAGCGGUGAAAUGCGUAGAGAUCUGGAGGAAUACCGAUGGCGAAGGCAGCCAUCUGGCCUAAUACUGACGCUGAGGUACGAAAGCAUGGGGAGCAAACAGG
This 430-nucleotide ribosomal RNA is filed under the name Acidobacteriota bacterium. Its description in RNAcentral is "Acidobacteria bacterium partial 16S ribosomal RNA". It matches the Rfam family "Bacterial small subunit ribosomal RNA", at positions 355 to 776 of the family's 1533-position model. Lineage: Bacteria; Pseudomonadati; Acidobacteriota. The record is from RNAcentral.